GAUGAACGCUGGCGGCGUGCCUAAUACAUGCAAGUCGAGCGGACGGACGAGAAGCUUGCUUCUCUGAUGUUAGCGGCGGACGGGUGAGUAACACGUGGAUAACCUACCUAUAAGACUGGGAUAACUUCGGGAAACCGGAGCUAAUACCAGAUAAUAUUUUGAACCGCAUGGUUCAAAAGUGAAAGACGGUCUUGCUGUCACUUAUAGAUGGAUCCGCGCUGCAUUAGCUAGUUGGUAAGGUAACGGCUUACCAAGGCAACGAUGCGUAGCCGACCUGAGAGGGUGAUCGGCCACACUGGAACUGAGACGCGGUCCAGACUCCUGCGGGAGGCAGCAGUAGGGAAUCUUCGGCAAUGGGCGAAAGCCUGGCGGAGCAACGCCGCGUGAGUGAUGAAGGUCUUCGGAUCGUAAAACUCUGUUAUUAGGGAAGAACAUCUGUGUAAUUAACUGUACACAUCUUGACGGUACCGAAUCAGAAAGCCCCGGCUAACUACGUG
Molecule: ribosomal RNA, 497 nt
Filed under: uncultured bacterium
Lineage: Bacteria
Description: partial 16S ribosomal RNA
Rfam family: Bacterial small subunit ribosomal RNA
Source: RNAcentral